This is a long non-coding RNA of Oncorhynchus tshawytscha (Chinook salmon), 570 nucleotides long. The record is from Ensembl. NCBI's taxonomy places the organism in Eukaryota, Metazoa, Chordata, Actinopteri, Salmoniformes, Salmonidae.
CUUUGGAUCAUGGCCAGGUGGCUUUAGCCCAAGCGGCAAUGGACAGGCAGGUCCAGUUGGUCCUCACGGACGUUUUAAAGACUGAACAGGGGCUGGCCUACCUGGACAAGAAAAGGCGUGGCCUGAUGACUGACAAUGGAGAGACAAAGAGAGAGUCGUGGGUGGGGAGUAGGCAGAGGGUGUCUCCGAGCAGCAGAGAGGGGGGGGAUGAUCGGAGAGAUGACCCCCAAUACAGAAAGAGACCCCAUGACCACGACACACCCACCUCGACCCGCAAGGAGACGAGGUCACACCAUAGAGGGGGGUCAGAGGAAGAAGAGGAGAUGAAAGAAGUCAUAAUAGGAGAGGAGAACGAGGGUAGUGUGUCAGGGAGGCGCAGGUCUGGGGUACCUCUGGAGGAGGUGACCUUUACUGAGGGGGACAGGCACCAGAAAAAGCGUUACCCACAAUCCACCAGGACCAGGAAGUUCAAUUCAGGUUCAAGUGAAUCCACACGCGCUGAGAGGGAGAGAUGUAGGAGGGAGUCUGGGCUCUACUGUAACGGACAGGUGAAGGAUGGAUGGAUGAAGG